This 918-nucleotide ribosomal RNA is filed under the name Streptomyces sp. Its description in RNAcentral is "bacterial SSU rRNA". It matches the Rfam family "Bacterial small subunit ribosomal RNA", at positions 67 to 992 of the family's 1533-position model. The record is from RNAcentral. Lineage: Bacteria; Bacillati; Actinomycetota; Actinomycetes; Kitasatosporales; Streptomycetaceae.
CGAUGANGCCCUUCGGGNUGGAUUAGUGGCGAACGGGUGANNNNCACGUGGGCAAUCUGCCCUUCACUCUGGGACAAGCCCUGGAAACGGGGUCUAAUACCGGAUAACACCUGCCCGGGCAUCUGGGUGGGUUAAAAGCUCCGGCGGUGAAGGAUGAGCCCGCGGCCUAUCAGCUUGUUGGUGAGGUAGUGGCUCACCAAGGCGACGACGGGUAGCCGGCCUGAGAGGGCGACCGGCCACACUGGGACUGAGACACGGCCCAGACUCNUACGGGAGGCAGCAGUGGGGAAUAUUGCACAAUGGGCGAAAGCCUGAUGCAGCGACGCCGCGUGAGGGAUGACGGCCUUCGGGUUGUAAACCUCUUUCAGCAGGGAAGAAGCGAAAGUGACGGUACCUGCAGAAGAAGCGCCGGCUAACUACGUGCCAGCAGCCGCGGUAAUACGUAGGGCGCAAGCGUUGUCCGGAAUUAUUGGGCGUAAAGAGCUCGUAGGCGGCUUGUCACGUCGGGUGUGAAAGCCCGGGGCUUAACCCCGGGUCUGCAUUCGAUACGGGCUAGCUAGAGUGUGGUAGGGGAGAUCGGAAUUCCUGGUGUAGCGGUGAAAUGCGCAGAUAUCAGGAGGAACACCGGUGGCGAAGGCGGAUCUCUGGGCCAUUACUGACGCUGAGGAGCGAAAGCGUGGGGAGCGAACAGGAUUAGAUACCCUGGUAGUCCACGCCGUAANCGGUGGGAACUAGGUGUUGGCGACAUUCCACGUCGUCGGUGCCGCAGCUAACGCAUUAAGUUCCCCGCCUGGGGAGUACGGCCGCAAGGCUAAAAACUCAAAGGAAUUGACGGGGGCCCNGCACAAGCAGCGGAGCAUGNGGNCUUAAUUCNGACGCAACCGCGAAAAANCCUUACCAAGGGCUUGGACAUACACC